UUCAACAACGGAUCUCUUGGUUCUGGCAUCGAUGAAGAACGCAGCGAAAUGCGAUAAGUAAUGUGAAUUGCAGAAUUCAGUGAAUCAUCGAAUCUUUGAACGCACAUUGCGCCCUCUGGUAUUCCGGAGGGCAUGCCUGUUCGAGCGUCAUUUCACCACUCCAGCCUCGCUGGGUCUUGGGCGCC
This 185-nucleotide ribosomal RNA is filed under the name Teratosphaeria nubilosa. RNAcentral describes it as "5.8S ribosomal RNA". The stretch from base 1 to 150 matches the Rfam family "5.8S ribosomal RNA". Rfam says of the family: 5.8S ribosomal RNA (5.8S rRNA) is a component of the large subunit of the eukaryotic ribosome. It is transcribed by RNA polymerase I as part of the 45S precursor that also contains 18S and 28S rRNA. Functionally, it is thought that 5.8S rRNA may be involved in ribosome translocation. The record is from RNAcentral. Lineage: Eukaryota; Fungi; Ascomycota; Dothideomycetes; Mycosphaerellales; Teratosphaeriaceae.